This 90-nucleotide transfer RNA is filed under the name Allosediminivita pacifica. Its description in RNAcentral is "tRNA-Ser". It matches the Rfam family "tRNA". From Rfam's summary of the family: Transfer RNA (tRNA) molecules are approximately 80 nucleotides in length. Their secondary structure includes four short double-helical elements and three loops (D, anti-codon, and T loops). Lineage: Bacteria; Pseudomonadati; Pseudomonadota; Alphaproteobacteria; Rhodobacterales; Paracoccaceae. The record is from RNAcentral.
GGAGGCUUGGCAGAGUGGUCGAUUGCGGCGGUCUUGAAAACCGUUGACCCUUCGCGGGGUCCGUGGGUUCGAAUCCCACAGCCUCCGCCA